GCGUUUGUGGUUUAGUGGUAAAAUCCAUCGUUGCCAUACAGACAACAUCGAUGGGCCCCGGGUUCGAUUCCCGGCGAACGCA
Molecule: non-coding RNA, 82 nt
Organism: Cadophora gregata
Lineage: Eukaryota; Fungi; Ascomycota; Leotiomycetes; Helotiales; Ploettnerulaceae
Source: the annotation of a RefSeq genome assembly